Molecule: ribosomal RNA, 442 nt
Filed under: uncultured bacterium
Lineage: Bacteria
Description: partial 16S ribosomal RNA
Rfam family: Bacterial small subunit ribosomal RNA
Source: RNAcentral
CCUACGGGAGGCUGCAGUGGGGAAUAUUGGUCAAUGGGCGCAAGCCUGACCCAGCAAUGCCGCGUGAAGGAAGAAGGCUUUCGGGUUUUAAACUUCUUUUACAGGGGAAGAGCAGAAGACGGUACCCUGAAAACAAGCCACGGCUAACUACGUGCCAGCAGCCGCGGUAAUACGAAGGUGGCAAGCGUUGUGCGGAUUGACUGGGUGUAAAGGGCGUGUAGGCGGGAAGGCAAGUCAGAUGUGAAAUCCGGGGGCUCAACCCCCGAAUUGCAGUUGACACUGUUUUUCUUGAGUACGGGAGAGGCAGGCGGAAUGCGUGGUGUAGCGGUGAAAUGCGUAGAUAUAAGGAGGAACACCAGUUGCGAAGGCGGUCGGCUGGACAGCAACUGACGGUGAGGCGCGAAAGCGUGGGGAGCAAACAGGAUUAGAUACCCCUGUAGUC